RNA transcript from Loxodonta africana (African savanna elephant), 1672 nucleotides. It is a transcript of the gene named cathepsin G-like, with no coding region annotated. The record is from RefSeq and is a predicted model, not a curated record. The transcript has 3 exons. NCBI's taxonomy places the organism in Eukaryota, Metazoa, Chordata, Mammalia, Proboscidea, Elephantidae.
CUUUGGCACAGCAAUGACAUUUCUUAUUCUUCGAGGCCAUCACUCCUGAGGCAGAAAAUUGGGAUUAGGUUGACUAGACUCUUGUAUUGAUGGUUGAAGGAUGAUCUUAGACGUUUUCCAGCCAGGGUCUGACAACUCUCAACAAAAUCAAGUCACUAGGCCUUUUCUGUGUGCAGGGAAUCUUCUAGCACCUAAAGAAGGGAGUUUUCACAUGGGUAGGAAACAAAGUAAAAUUUUUCAACUGUGUAUAGUUUUCAAUGAGUGUUUGUCAAGGUUUAAGUGACCUGAAAAAGUAAUUAUCAGUGGAUGAGCCUUGGUUCUCUCUUUUCUUUUUUCUGGCAGCACCCUCCACUCAGGGAAAACAGCUACGCAAUCUGCCUUGACAACUUCUAGGAACAAGUGGGAACAGCGGGGUUCUCAGCAAGAUGGCUUUGGGCUAAAGGUCCUCUUUUGCCCCCUUUGACUUUGUCUUGGUAUCCUCAUUCUAUAACCCACCCAUCUUUUAUGCACACUUAUCGAACUCUUAUUAAUUAGAAAUGAAUAAGCAAUCCAGGAAUCUUGCAAUCAUUUUAAGAACCCCUAAAGUUCCAAAGAACUGAAGCUCUAAUCCUGGAGGAAUGGAAAUGGGAGUACGUAGGCAGCCUCCAGCUUUCAUGCAUUGUUGGGGAUAUUAUUAAACUUAGUGGGUUUAGGGUUCUGGGAGAAGGUGCCCCAAACCCCCGUUCUGGUUGCCCUGGGUCCCUGUUUCUGCUGUCAGCCUUGACUCAGAAAUUGUGUGGGAGAUCACGAUGUUUGCUUGGAUUAUUCUGUCUUCGCCCAGAUCACUGGCAGUUGGUGGGGAACCUCUUGGCCAGCCUAGGGUGAUGAAACCUAUCGCUCCAAUAGGAGAAUGGGACUGUGGAUUCCCAAUUGCUCCUCCCCUUCCUUCCUCUCUUUGGGGCUAAAAGUCAAGCAGGCAGAAACACAAGCAGCAACUGACCAAGUAGCCAUCCAGGGAAGAUGCAGCCACUCCUGAUCCUGUUGGUCUUUCUUCUACCCCCUGGGACUAGAGCAGGGAAAAUCAUCGGAGGCCAAGAGGCCAGGCCCCACUCCCACCCCUAUAUGGUUUAUCUUCAGAUUUUGACUCCAGCUGGCGUAAACAUUUGUGGAGGUUUCCUGGUGCGAGAAGACUUUGUGUUGACAGCAGCUCACUGCCUGGGAAGGGGGAUGCCGGGGGCCCCCUCGUGUGCAACAACGUGGCCCAGGGCAUCGUCUCUUAUGGAAAACUAAGUGGGACCCCUCCAGCAGUCUUCAUCAGGAUCUCAAGCUUCUUUUCCUGGAUAAACAGAACAAUGAGACGCUUCAAACAGCAGGGUUAAACUGAGAAGACUGACUCUUCUUCCUUGGGGUGGCAAAUGGUGGGGACAGUGCCAUAGCCUUAAUAAAUGUCCAUGUCUAGAGUGAAAAUAACAGAAUUCUUGUUUAUUCAUAGAACACCAUUCAGUGCACAAUAAAUGUGCAACAGGUAGACCUCUGUUCCCAUUUCAACUGUUUCUUGCUUCCUCCUCUUCCAUUUCUCCCCUGCCUCUGCCCAUCUCUUAAAACUUCACUGUUUUCCAAUUAUUUGAGAUGCCACCAUUAUUAUAUAUUAAAGUGGAACUUUUCAUGAAAUUUCAAUUCUGUCCCCUUUGUC